Molecule: ribosomal RNA, 406 nt
Filed under: uncultured bacterium
Lineage: Bacteria
Description: partial 16S ribosomal RNA
Rfam family: Bacterial small subunit ribosomal RNA
Source: RNAcentral
AUUGAACGCUGGCGGCAGGCCUAACACAUGCAAGUCGAACGAGUCGCGGACGGGUGUGUAAUGUCUGGGACACUGUCAUAUGGAGGGGGAAAACCACUGGAAACGGUAGCUAAUACCGCAUACCCUCAGAUGCGCCCAGAUGGGAUUCGCUAGGUGGUGGGGAAACGGCACACCAAUGCGACGAUCCCUAGCUGGUCCGAGAGUAUGACCAGCCACACUGGAACUGAGACACGGUCCAGACUCCUACGGUAGGCAGCAGUGGGGAAUAUUGCACAAUGGGCGCAAGCCUGAUGCAGCCAUGCCGCGUGUAUGAAGAAGGCCGUCGGGUUGUAAAGUACUUUCAGCGGGGAGGCGUUACCCGCAGAAGAAGCACCGGCUAACUCCGUGCCAGCAGCCGCGGUAAUUC